GGAUAGUUCCUUGAACCGCAUGGUUCAAGGAUGAAAGACGGUUUCGGCUGUCACUUACAGAUGGACCCGCGGCGCAUUAGCUAUUUGGUGGGGUAAUGGCUCACCAAGGCGACGAUGCGUAGCCGACCUGAGAGGGUGAUCGGCCACACUGGGACUGAGACACGGCCCAGACUCCUACGGGAGGCAGCAGUAGGGAAUCUUCCGCAAUGGACGAAAGUCUGACGGAGCAACGCCGCGUGAGUGAUGAAGGUUUUCGGAUCGUAAAGCUCUGUUGUUAGGGAAGUACAAGUGCGAGAGUAACUGCUCGCACCUUGACGGUACCUAACCAGAAAGCCACGGCUAACUACGUGCCAGCAGCCGCGGUAAUACGUAGGUGGCAAGCGUUGUCCGGAAUUAUUGGGCGUAAAGGGCUCGCAGGCGGUUUCUUAAGUCUGAUGUGAAAGCCCCCGGCUCAACCGGGGAGGGUCAUUGGAAACUGGGAAACUUGAGUGCUAGAAGAGGAGAGUGUAAUUCCACGUGUAGCGUGAUAGCGUAGAGAUGUGGAGGAACACCAGUGGCGAAGGCGACUCUUUGGUCUGUAACUGACGCUGAGGAGCGAAAGCCUGGGGAGCGAACAGGAUUAGAUAGCUUGGUAGUCCACGCCGUAAACGAUGAGUGCUAAGUGUUAGGGGGUUUCCGCCCCUUAGUGCUGCAGCUAACGCAUUAAGCACUCCGCCUGGGGAGUACGGUCGCAAGACUGAAACUCAAAGGAAUUGACGGGGGCCCGCACAAGCGGUGGAGCAUGUGGUUUAAUUCGAAGCAACGCGAAGAACCUUACCAGGUCUUGACAUCCUCUGACAACCCUAGAGAUAGGGCUUUCCCUCUCGGGGACAGAGUGACAGGUGGUGCAUGGUUGUCGUCAGCUCGUGUCGUGAGAUGUUGGGUUAAGUCCCGCAACGAGCGCAACCCUUGAUCUUAGUUGCCAGCAUUCAGUUGGGCACUCUAAGGUGACUGCCGGUGACAAACCGGAGGAAGGUGGGGAUGACGUAAAAUCAUCAUGCCCCU
Molecule: ribosomal RNA, 1044 nt
Filed under: Bacillus sp. enrichment culture clone CBMAI_981
Lineage: Bacteria; Bacillati; Bacillota; Bacilli; Caryophanales; Bacillaceae
Description: bacterial SSU rRNA
Rfam family: Bacterial small subunit ribosomal RNA
Source: RNAcentral